UCGGAGCACGAUACCCUCGGGAAACUGAGGCUAAUAGUGCAUACCACACUCAUCCUGGAAUGGCGAGUGUGCCAAACGCUCCGGCGCCGAAGGACGUGGCUGCGGCCGAUUAGGUAGACGGUGGGGUACGGCCCACCGUGCCGAUAAUCGGUACGGGUGGUGAGAGCCAGAACCCGGAGACGGAAUCUGAGACAAGAUUCCGGGCCCUACGGGGCGCAGCAGGCGCGAAACCUUUACACUGCACGACAGUGCGAUAAGGGGGUCCCAAGUGCGUAGGCAUAGAGCCUACGCUUUUGUACACCGUAGGGAGGUGUACGAAUAAGGGCUGGGCAAGACCGGUGCCAGCCGCCGCGGUAAUACCGGCAGCCCGAGUGAUGGCCGAUCUUAUUGGGCCUAAAGCGUCCGUAGCUGGCCGCGCAAGUCCAUCGGGAAAUCCACCCGCUCAACGGGUGGACGUCCGGUGGAAACUGCACGGCUUGGGACCGGAAGGCGCGACGGGUACGUCCGGGGUAGGAGUGAAAUCCCGUAAUCCUGGACGGACCGCCGAUGGCGAAAGCACGUCGCGAGAACGGAUCCGACAGUGAGGGACAAAGCUAGGGUCUCGAACCGGAUUAGAUACCCGGGUAGUCCUAGCCGUAAACAAUGCCUGCUAGGUGUGGCUCCCACUACGAGUGGGUGCUGUGCCGUAGGGAAGCCGCUAAGCAGGCCGCCUGGGAAGUACGUCCGCAAGGAUGAAACUUAAAGGAAUUGG
Molecule: ribosomal RNA, 751 nt
Filed under: uncultured Halorubrum sp.
Lineage: Archaea; Methanobacteriati; Methanobacteriota; Halobacteria; Halobacteriales; Haloferacaceae
Description: bacterial SSU rRNA
Rfam family: Archaeal small subunit ribosomal RNA
Source: RNAcentral